Candoia aspera is the source of this 1825-nucleotide long non-coding RNA. RefSeq lists it as uncharacterized. Lineage: Eukaryota; Metazoa; Chordata; Lepidosauria; Squamata; Candoiidae. The record is from RefSeq and is a predicted model, not a curated record. The transcript is spliced from 3 exons.
UUGUAAAUUAUUUCCAGGGACAAGAAGUUCAGUCCAGGGAAACAAAGGAACAAAAACAAGUGUCUUUUCCCUCAUGAAUGUAGUUGUGAACUAUGCAAAGUGUUGAGGAGAAGUGGUGGGAACCAUGUCUCUGUAGUUUUGCUAAAAUACUGUGUACCAUAGAGAGCAGUGAUCUGUUUAGCCUCCUAGACAUUUUUACAGCAUUUUCCAGCUCAAUCGCAUUAAUUUCAAGCAUGAUCAAAGAAAAUUUUAAGAUUUAAUCCCCUUAAGGAGGGGUUUUUGGCAUCACCAGGAGCUUUCUUUUGACCUAAAUUAGAGUUGAGCUAUAGUGCAGAGUAUUUGUUUUAUUCUAGUAAAGGUUUUCAAGAUGACACAUCAAACUGAGACUGCUUGGAAUAUAGAGGAUCAUUUGAUUAGGAAUAUUAGAGCUGUUUUUUUUUUUUUUGAGGGGUGGUUAGGUCCUGUCCAGCUUAAUCUUAGUUAUGUGCUGAAAAGGAUGCACAGACUUUAAAGACUCUUCACAAUGGUUUGGGGAUUUCAAAGCAAGCCGUUCUUCCUAUUUGCAGGCCUAAAGCCAGUGUCAACAGCAUUGAUUUGUAUGUUUGUUCAAGAUACCCCAUUCAUAACUGCCAACAAUACCUUCCCUCCACCAUUCUGUGAUGGGCUACAAAGAUGUAAACCUGGACUGACUUCUGAUGGGAUGCUAUAUGGAUUUUUAAAACAACUUUUAGAUUCAAAGGAGGGUUUCUUCAUGUUGAAUCUUCUCAUUUCCAUGUUAGCCUGACAUUCAAGCAGUUUUGUCAAAAGUAUGGCAUUGAUAUUCCGUGGAGAAUAAAGAGUUGUAGUGAUGAUUUUUCUGGCUACCUUGUGGAUUUGCCAUGUGCUGCUAAGAAUACUGAUGUCUGUGAGAGAACUGAAGAGUGAAUGACUGAAAGAUUUCCUGCCUUUAUUUACAAAUGUGUAGGCACAGGAAUAGACAAGUAAUUACUAAGUCAGCCCCUUAAUUUUCCUUAUACUGUGUGGGAAUAGUAGAAUGGAAACUGCCUCAGCAACUUUCCACUGAAAAGAAAAAUUAUAACCAGAUACAAAUUCACAGGGAAAACACUUAAAGAAAUCCUCCUCUCCCUCCUCCUCCUCCUCUUUUGGAGAUGGGGAGGGAGAGUGAGUAUACCAAUUUUUCUCUGUGCUGAAAAAUACCUUCUGCUUCUGUCUUUGGCCACUUAGGAGGUCAUUUAAUCAGGCCUUCCUUACCCUACUUUUACAUUCAGCAUUAAGGCAACAGAGCUUGUCCAGGGGAUUUUGAUGCCGUCGUAGGCUCUGCAGUGAUUUAUGUCUUCAAUUCUAUUCUAGGGGAAAAUCUCUUUUGACCACUGCAACCCAUGACAUGAAAGAAAGAAGAGGAGAAAGCUUGCAUGAAUACUGAGCAGAAUUCAUUGGGGAAUAAUCAAGCUGAAUCCAAAUGUCAGCUCUCCACAAACUGAAGGGCUACCUUCUUCUGCAGAAGCAGAGAAAUGGGCAAUUUUCACCAAUUCCUCUUUUCCCUUAGCAUGUGACCCUGGAGAAUCCAAAAGAGCAAGUAUUGGCAAUGAUCAAAGAAUUAUCUCAGCAAAACUCUAUUAAGCCAUCUCCUGCAUUUUUGCAUUUACUCCAUCUGAAUUUUCCUGUAACUCCAAGUUUCUCCGUUUCCUUAAUUUUGAACUACUGUACCCAUUAGUAGUCUAUGACCUUUCUAAAUGCUGCAUUUAGCAGCUCUUGAAAUUUGCUACAGGAUUCAUAACUUCUUGUAUCUGAGGUAGGGACGUACUUGUUCAUUAAAAUCUGAUUC